GUUAAUAUAGUUUCAAAAAAAACAUUAGACCGUGGCUCUAAAAAUAGGAG
Molecule: transfer RNA, 50 nt
Filed under: Chelonoidis duncanensis (Duncan Island giant tortoise)
Lineage: Eukaryota; Metazoa; Chordata; Testudines; Testudinidae
Description: partial tRNA-His
Source: RNAcentral